CACUCCUGCGGGAGGCAGCAGUGGGGAAUUUUGGACAAUGGGCGAAAGCCUGAUCCAGCCAUGCCGCGUGCAGGAUGAAGGCCUUCGGGUUGUAAACUGCUUUUGUACGGAACGAAACGGCCUUUUCUAAUAAAGAGGGCUAAUGACGGUACCGUAAGAAUAAGCACCGGCUAACUACGUGCCAGCAGCCGCGGUAAUACGUAGGGUGCAAGCGUUAAUCGGAAUUACUGGGCGUAAAGCGUGCGCAGGCGGUUAUGUAAGACAGUUGUGAAAUCCCCGGGCUCAACCUGGGAACUGCAUCUGUGACUGCAUAGCUAGAGUACGGUAGAGGGGGAUGGAAUUCCGCGUGUAGCAGUGAAAUGCGUAGAUAUGCGGAGGAACACCGAUGGCGAAGGCAAUCCCCUGGACCUGUACUGACGCUCAUGCACGAAAGCGUGGGGAGCAAACAGGAUUAGAAACCCUUGUAGUCCCAU
This 473-nucleotide ribosomal RNA is filed under the name uncultured organism. Its description in RNAcentral is "partial 16S ribosomal RNA". It matches the Rfam family "Bacterial small subunit ribosomal RNA", at positions 334 to 798 of the family's 1533-position model. The record is from RNAcentral.